CCCCCAACCUGCCCCCCAGUGUCGUCCCCCUGUCCACUGUGACUCUCCUGCCAGCACCGUCCCCUCCUCUCCCUUUGUAGGGCCUCAGCAGCCUCUUCAAGCCCCCCCAACGCCCUCCAGUGUCCCCCCAUCUGUUGUGACCCUCUCACCAGCCCCACCCCCAUCUGUGGGGAUCCCUUAGCCCCCAGCAUCCCCUCCCCCAUCGUGUACACUCUACCUGGCCUCUCCCUUCACCCCCGACCUCCUCCUCCCCCUUGUCCUCAGCACCCUAACACUGACAUCCUCUCACCCCACUCCCCACAUCCUCCUUCCUGUCCUCAGCACCCUGCCCCCCCUUCCUCCUCCUCCCCCCCACCCCAUCCUCAGCGCCCCACCCCUAAUUGCCUCCAACCCAUUUCUCAUUGCUGGGCCCCACUUUCCCAUCCUCCCACUCCCCCAGUCCAUCCCCAGGAUGUGAGGUUCCUCAUCUUCAAUCUCUGCUACACUCAAACCUGCCAGGUUCCCCUUUUCAACCACUGUGGGGUUGUCCAACCCGCCGACACCCAUCCACUCUGGGCUCUCUAAAUCCCACAUUCCCACAAUGCACCUUGGUAACGCCACUCUCCUCUAUCCCUAAUCCCUCUAUUCCCUUCCCUUAGGUCCUCCUGGACACCCCAGCCCACAGCCAGGCCUCCACAUACAUCCCAGUCAUUCACAUGCUGAGCUAGUUCUUCAGGGACCCCCACAGCCCAGCAAACUUCUCCAUCCAUGAGCUCCAUGGACCUGUGGCUGGGAAGGGAAAAGAAGUCGCGGGGAUGGAGUCCAGCCCUGAGGUGAGAUGGAAAGUGAUCGAGAGCAGUGACGGCGUGAAUCGUGUUGAUGCCAAGCAAGAGCUGCCCAACUUGGACGAGAGUAACCGUUUCGAGAUAGUUGGGAUUAUGUUUUCCAGUGUGCAUUACUUUGCACUUGACAGCACUGACGUUCAUCUGCCAUUUGGUUGUCCUGUCACCCAGUUUUGUGAGAUCUCUUUGUGGCUCUUCGCAGGCUGCCUGGGACUUAACUAUCCUGAGCAAUUUUGUAUCAUCUGCAAAUUUUGCCACCUCACUGUUUACCCCUUUCCCCAGAUGAUUUAUGAAUAAGUUGAAUGGUACUGCUCCCAGUACAGACACCUAGGGAUAAGAGAGGGAAGAUCCUCUUCUGACACUGGCAGACCAGGUGCCAGCUCAUGCCAAGGCCCCUAUGCCUUACUGAAAAGUGACAAACGCAUGGCUGGAAACUAGUCUUGCUCACUUGUUUGUUAGUGUUGUUAAAACAAGAAUUAGAUUCAUAAAAAUGUGUUUAGUGUUUAUGACAAGCUCGUGAGUUGCUGCAUGCAUUCUUCUCACCUAUAAUAGCCGUAGCCCAUGUGGUAAGGUGAUAUAUAAGCAUUGGCACUAAAGCUGUAAACCCCCUUGCCGCCACCAGUCAGGAGAGAAGCAUUACCAAGUGUGAAACGCUAGUUUACCAGAAGAGGCGUCAUCUCGUUUCCAACAAGAGAAGGCGCUGACUGAGACAUCAGACAAGCCACUGUCGAUCAUCUGUGGACAAAAGACUUGGUUGAUUGCUCGCCUCACACACCCACGAGGAGGCAGAGACCAGCACAAACACUUGCCCCCAUCAGCUUGAGCUCUGGGGGAAUGGAAUAAAAAUACCUGUCAGGAAGAAACUGUUGGCAUCCCACCCCCAGGAUGCUGCUUGGACUUCAGGGAGACAGCACGCCAUCUAAGCGUACGAAAAGAAUCCCAGCUGC
This is a long non-coding RNA of Gopherus flavomarginatus (Mexican gopher tortoise), 1768 nucleotides long. RefSeq lists it as uncharacterized. The record is from RefSeq and is a predicted model, not a curated record. NCBI's taxonomy places the organism in Eukaryota, Metazoa, Chordata, Testudines, Testudinidae. The transcript has 3 exons.